Non-coding RNA from Tephrocybe rancida, 86 nucleotides. Lineage: Eukaryota; Fungi; Basidiomycota; Agaricomycetes; Agaricales; Lyophyllaceae. The record is from the annotation of a GenBank genome assembly.
GGCGGGUUAGCGUAAUGGCUUAACGCGUCAGCCUCCGAUUGUAAGGAAUUAGCUGGAGAUUCCGGGUUCGAGUCCCGGGCCUGUCG